RNAcentral lists this small RNA (2172 nucleotides) under Pan troglodytes (chimpanzee). RNAcentral describes it as "retained intron". Lineage: Eukaryota; Metazoa; Chordata; Mammalia; Primates; Hominidae. The record is from RNAcentral.
UUAUUGCAUUUGCACCUGAAUCCAAAACUACCCAAGAGAUAAUGAACAAAGUGGCUUCAGCCCCAUUCCUAAAAGGAAGAACAAUCAUGGGGUGGCCUGAUGAAAAAAGCAUGGAUGAAUUGGAUUUGAACUAUUCAAUAGACGCAGUGAGAGUCAUCUUUACUGAUACCUUCUCCUACCAUUUGAAGUUUUCUUGGGGACAUAGAAUCCCCAUGAUGAAAGAGCACAGAGACCAUUCAGCUCACUGUCAAGCAGUGAAUGAAAAAAUGAAGUGUGAAGGUUCAGAGUUCUGGGAGAAAGGCUUUGUAGCUUUUCAAGCUGCCAUUAAUGCUGCUAUCAUAGAAAUCACAACAAAUCAUUCAGUGAUGGAACAGCUGAUGUCAGUUACUGGUGUACAUAUGAAGAUAUUACCUUUUGUUGCCCAAGGAGGAGUUGCAACUGAUUUUUUCAUUUUCUUUUGCAUUAUUUCUUUUUCUACAUUUAUAUACUAUGUAUCAGUCAAUGUUACACAAGAAAGACAAUACAUUACGUCAUUGAUGACAAUGAUGGGACUCCGAGAGUCAGCAUUCUGGCUUUCCUGGGGUUUGAUGUAUGCUGGCUUCAUCCUUAUCAUGGCCACUUUAAUGGCUCUUAUUGUAAAAUCUGCACAAAUUGUCGUCCUGACUGGUUUUGUGAUGGUCUUCACCCUCUUUCUCCUCUAUGGCCUGUCUUUGAUAACUUUAGCUUUCCUGAUGAGUGUGUUGAUAAAGAAACCUUUCCUUACGGGCUUGGUUGUGUUUCUCCUUAUUGUCUUUUGGGGGAUCCUGGGAUUCCCAGCAUUGUAUACACAUCUUCCUGCAUUUUUGGAAUGGACUUUGUGUCUUCUUAGCCCCUUUGCCUUCACUGUUGGGAUGGCCCAGCUUAUACAUUUGGACUAUGAUGUGAAUUCUAAUGCCCACUUGGAUUCUUCACAAAAUCUAUACCUCAUAAUAGCUACUCUUUUCAUGUUGGUUUUUGACACCCUUCUGUAUUUGGUAUUGACAUUAUAUUUUGACAAAAUUUUGCCCGGUAAGUACUAACAUGGCUAUAAUUUAACACAAUUUCAAUAAUAGCAUGUCUUUAAAACAACUCUACAAUGUACUAAAUAAAAAUUAGCAAGCAGUUUUUCAAAAUUUCUACAACAAGCCUAAUGAUAUUCUGUAGUUUGUUUAUAGAAUCACUUUCUAAGACUUGGCUCUGCUAUAACACUCCAGAGUGUUUCUUUUUAAAAAGAGACACUUGUGAGAGAUUAUGGAUGAUGAUACUAUUAGUGUUUAUGUCAGAACUAGAUGAAGAAUGCUGGUGCUUGAUACUUGAUCUUAGAAAUCUCUAAGUGCUUUCCCAUUUAACUCACUUGAUAUACAAUAGUGGGUUAUUAGUAAAAAUAUUAUAAUUGCAUAGUCGAUGUACAAUCUUUCCUUUCUUUCUUUCUUUCCUUUUUUUUUUUUUUUGAGAAGUCUCGCUCUGUCACCCAUGCUGGAGUGCAGUGGCGCGAUCUCUGCUCACUGCAACCUCUGCCUCCCGGGUUCAAGUGAUUCUCGUGCCUCAGCCUGCUGAGUAGCUGGGACUACAGACAUGCCCCACCAUGCCUGGCUAAUUUUUGUGUUUUCAGUGGAGACGAGGUUUCACCAUGUUGACCAGGCUGUCUUGAACUCCUGACCUCAGGUGAUCUGCCCCUUCGGCCUCCCAAACUGCUGGAAUUACAGGCAUGAGCUACCAUGCCACCCUUAUGUACAAUCUUUUCUAUAGAGAAACAAAAUCUUCAUCUGUGCAUCUCUGGGGUCUGUCUGUCAAUUCCUCGUAUAUACUAGGUAAGUGCUAAGGAAGAGGCAGAAAGGGAAAUUGGGAAAUGAAGGGAAGGAAGGGACCUUCUGAAUAGUUUAUUCAUCACGUUUCUGGGAGUACUGAUACAGAAUAAUGACUCGCUGAUUAUUUUAAAACUUCCCAAGUAAGAAAUUUCGGAAUGUAUCAUUAGUGUUAUGACAUUUACUAUUAUUCUUGGUGUAUUGACCUUAUCUAACCCAAAUGGAGGAAAUCACAAGCAGGAGAAUUGCUUGAACCCAGGAAGCAGAGGUUGUAGUGAGCCGGGAUCAUGCUACUGGACUGCAGCCUGGGUGACAGAGUGAGACUCCAUCUUAAAAAAUAAAAAAUAAA